RNAcentral lists this ribosomal RNA (460 nucleotides) under uncultured bacterium. RNAcentral's name for it is "partial 16S ribosomal RNA". It matches the Rfam family "Bacterial small subunit ribosomal RNA", at positions 338 to 795 of the family's 1533-position model. The record is from RNAcentral.
CCUACGGGAGGCAGCAGUGAGGAAUAUUGGUCAAUGGACGAGAGUCUGAACCAGCCAAGUAGCGUGAAGGAUGACUGCCCUAUGGGUUGUAAACUUCUUUUAUAAAGGAAUAAAACGAGGCACGUGUGCCUUUUUGCAUGUACUUUAUGAAUAAGGAUCGGCUAACUCCGUGCCAGCAGCCGCGGUAAUACGGAGGAUCCGAGCGUUAUCCGGAUUUAUUGGGUUUAAAGGGUGCGUAGAUGGGUUGUUAAGUCAGUGGUGAAAGUUUGCGGCUCAACCGUAAAAUUGCAAUUGAUACUGGCAGUCGUGAGUACAGUUGAGGUAGGCGGAAUGCGUGGUGUAGCGGUGAAAUGCUUAGAUAUCACGAAGAACCCCGAUUGCGAAGGCAGCUUACUAAACUGUGACUGACAUUGAUGCUCGAAAGUGUGGGUAUCAAACAGGAUUAGAUACCCCAGUAGUC